AUAGUUCCUUGAACCGCAUGGUUCAAGGAUGAAAGACGGUUUCGGCUGUCACUUACAGAUGGACCCGCGGCGCAUUAGCUAGUUGGUGGGGUAAUGGCUCACCAAGGCGACGAUGCGUAGCCGACCUGAGAGGGUGAUCGGCCACACUGGGACUGAGACACGGCCCAGACUCCUACGGGAGGCAGCAGUAGGGAAUCUUCCGCAAUGGACGAAAGUCUGACGGAGCAACGCCGCGUGAGUGAUGAAGGUUUUCGGAUCGUAAAGCUCUGUUGUUAGGGAAGAACAAGUGCGAGAGUAACUGCUCGCACCUUGACGGUACCUAACCAGAAAGCCACGGCUAACUACGUGCCAGCAGCCGCGGUAAUACGUAGGUGGCAAGCGUUGUCCGGAAUUAUUGGGCGUAAAGGGCUCGCAGGCGGUUUCUUAAGUCUGAUGUGAAAGCCCCCGGCUCAACCGGGGAGGGUCAUUGGAAACUGGGAAACUUGAGUGCAGAAGAGGAGAGUGGAAUUCCACGUGUAGCGGUGAAAUGCGUAGAGAUGUGGAGGAACACCAGUGGCGAAGGCGACUCUCUGGUCUGUAACUGACGCUGAGGAGCGAAAGCGUGGGGAGCGAACAGGAUUAGAUACCCUGGUAGUCCACGCCGUAAACGAUGAGUGCUAAGUGUUAGGGGGUUUCCGCCCCUUAGUGCUGCAGCUAACGCAUUAAGCACUCCGCCUGGGGAGUACGGUCGCAAGACUGAAACUCAAAGGAAUUGACGGGGGCCCGCACAAGCGGUGGAGCAUGUGGUUUAAUUCGAAGCAACGCGAAGAACCUUACCAGGUCUUGACAUCCUCUGACAACCCUAGAGAUAGGGCUUUCCCUUCGGGGACAGAGUGACAGGUGGUGCAUGGUUGUCGUCAGCUCGUGUCGUGAGAUGUUGGGUUAAGUCCCGCAACGAGCGCAACCCUUGAUCUUAGUUGCCAGCAUUCAGUUGGGCACUCUAAGGUGACUGCCGGUGACAAACCGGAGGAAGGUGGGGAUGACGUCAAAUCAUCAUGCCCCUUAUGACCUGGGCUACACACGUGCUACAAUGGACAGAACAAAGGGCUGCGAGACCGCAAGGUUUAGCCAAUCCCAUAAAUCUGUUCUCAGUUCGGAUCGCAGU
This 1144-nucleotide ribosomal RNA is filed under the name Bacillus pumilus. RNAcentral describes it as "bacterial SSU rRNA". It matches the Rfam family "Bacterial small subunit ribosomal RNA", at positions 173 to 1304 of the family's 1533-position model. Lineage: Bacteria; Bacillati; Bacillota; Bacilli; Caryophanales; Bacillaceae. The record is from RNAcentral.